This 301-nucleotide unclassified non-coding RNA is filed under the name Hevea brasiliensis (rubber tree). The record is from RNAcentral. Lineage: Eukaryota; Viridiplantae; Streptophyta; Magnoliopsida; Malpighiales; Euphorbiaceae.
GUAGACAACAUCUUCUGUUGCAACAUUGCCAGAAGCUCCUUUGGCAUAUGGACAGCCUCCGAGACCAGCAACUGAGGAGUCGACUGUGCUAAUACCCAUUUGGAGGGAAACCAAAAUAUUUGAAAGAGACUGUCCAUAGGUAUCAUGAAAAUGCACAGCAAGUUUUUCAACAGGAACCACAGCCAUCACAGCUUCAAGCAUAGGAACAACAGUUCCUGGAGUAGCGAUUCCUAUUGUGUCUCCAAGGGAAAUUUCAAAACAUCCCAUGUCAUGAAGUUCCUUUGCUACAUAUGCCACUUUU